RNAcentral lists this ribosomal RNA (279 nucleotides) under uncultured bacterium. RNAcentral's name for it is "partial 16S ribosomal RNA". It matches the Rfam family "Bacterial small subunit ribosomal RNA", at positions 32 to 305 of the family's 1533-position model. The record is from RNAcentral.
AAUCAACGCUGGCGGCGUGCCUAACACAUGCAAGUCGAGCGAGAAAGUGUAGCAAUACAUGAGUACAGCGGCGCACGGGUGAGUAACACGUGGAUAACCUGCCUCAAAGUGGGGGAUAACACCGGGAAACCGGUGCUAAUACCGCAUAUUCUGACGAGAUCUGAGGGUUUUGUCAGGAAAGGAGCAAUUCGCUAUGAGAGGGGUCCGCGGCUGANAGCUAGUUGGUGAGGUAAUGGCGUCACCAAGGCAUCGAUCAGUAGCCGGUCUGAGAGGACGGUC